GAGUUUGAUCAUGGCUCAGAACGUACGCUGGCGGCACGUCUAACACAUGCAAGUCGAACGAAGUAGCAAUACUUAGUGGCAGACGGGUGAGUAACAUGUGGGUAUCUGCCCUUUGGCCUGGAAUAACACGAGGAAACUUGUGCUAAUACCGGAUAAGUCUUUACGGAGAAAGCUUUAUGCACCAUUGGAUGAGCCCGCACUUGAUUAGUUUGUUGGUAGGGUAAUGGCCUACCAAGACUAUGAUCAAUAGCUGAUUUGAGAGGAUGAUCAGCCACAUUGGGACUGAGACACGGCCCAAACUCCUACGGGAGGCAGCAGUGGGGAAUCUUGCACAAUGGAGGAAACUCUGAUGCAGCGAUGCCGCGUGAGUGAAGAAGGCCUUUGGGUUGUAAAGCUCUUUCGUCGGGGAAGAAAAUGACUGUACCCGAAUAAGAAGGUCCGGCUAACUUCGUGCCAGCAGCCGCGGUAAUACGAAGGGACCUAGCGUAGUUCGGAAUUACUGGGCUUAAAGAGUUCGUAGGUGGUUAAAAAAGUUGGUGGUGAAAUCCCAGAGCUUAACUCUGGAACUGCCAUCAAAACUUUUUAGCUAGAGUAUGAUAGAGGAAAGCAGAAUUUCUAGUGUAGAGGUGAAAUUCGUAGAUAUUAGAAAGAAUACCGAUUGCGAAGGCAGCUUUCUGGAUCAUUACUGACACUGAGGAACGAAAGCAUGGGUAGCGAAGAGGAUUAGAUACCCUCGUAGUCCAUGCCGUAAACGAUGUGUGUUAGACGUUGGAAAUUUAUUUUCAGUGUCGCAGCGAAAGCGAUAAACACACCGCCUGGGGAGUACGACGCAAGGUUAAAACUCAAAUGAAUUGACGGGGACCCGCACAAGUAGUGGAGCAUGUGGUUUAAUUCGAAGAUACGCGCAGAACCUUACCAACACUUGACAUGUUCGUCGCGACUCUAAGAGAUUAGAGUUUUCGGUUCGGCCGGACGAAACACAGGUGCUGCAUGGCUGUCGUCAGCUCGUGUCGUGAGAUGUUGGGUUAAGUCCCGCAACGAGCGCAACCCUCACUUUUAGUUGCCAUCAUUAAGUUGGGCACUCUGAAAGAACUGCCAGUGAUAAGCUGGAGGAAGGUGGGGAUGACGUCAAGUCCUCAUGGCCCUUACGUGUUGGGCUACACACGUGCUACAAUGGUAUCUACAACAGGAAGCAAAACAGCGAUGUUAAGCAAAUCCCGAAAAGAUACCUCAGUUCGGAUUGCACUCUGCAACUCGAGUGCAUGAAGCUGGAAUUACUAGUAAUCGUGGAUCAGCGUGCCACGGUGAAUGCGUUCCCGGGUCUUGUACACACCGCCCGUCACACCAUGGGAGUUGGUUCUACCUUAAGGCAAGGUUUAAUACCCUUGACCACGGUAUAGUCAGCGACUGGGGUGAAGUCGUAACAAGGUAACC
This 1434-nucleotide ribosomal RNA is filed under the name uncultured marine bacterium. RNAcentral's name for it is "bacterial SSU rRNA". It matches the Rfam family "Bacterial small subunit ribosomal RNA". The record is from RNAcentral.